GGGCCUGUAGCUCAGUUGGUCAGAGCAGUGGACUCAUAAUCCAUUGGUCGUAGGUUCAAGUCCUACCGGGCCCACCA
RNAcentral lists this transfer RNA (77 nucleotides) under Gammaproteobacteria bacterium. RNAcentral's name for it is "tRNA-Ile". It matches the Rfam family "tRNA". Rfam says of the family: Transfer RNA (tRNA) molecules are approximately 80 nucleotides in length. Their secondary structure includes four short double-helical elements and three loops (D, anti-codon, and T loops). The record is from RNAcentral. Lineage: Bacteria; Pseudomonadati; Pseudomonadota; Gammaproteobacteria. RNAcentral also lists the same sequence under 1 other name.